AAUUUUCUAGGGAAAGAGGAGGAGGCUGGUGGUGAUGGUGGGAUGUCUCCCUGGAGCCUGGGGGUUUGGAAGAAGUGGCCUCCUAAUUAUCUCCUGGUAACCAGGCCCUCAGAUAUGUUCCUCCCACACUGACUGUGGGUUAGGUCAUGUGACUUGCUUUGGCCAGUGGGAGUUUAGACCUCACUCACAUGUCUGAGGUGUCAGUUGGGAUGGCUGGAAUGGCUGGAAUUGCUGGAGCUUCUCUUCACAUAGCCUCUCAUCCUCCAGGAGACCAGCCCAGGAAUGAGCCAGACUCCCAGAGAAGUUUGGAAAGAAAGCAGGAUAUGAUGGAGAACAAUGAUGAGUGACCUGGUGCUAGAACCAGGAACAUAGAUACUUAAAGUCAGGAAGAUGCAUCCAGUAUUGUGGUACUACAGAGCUGCUCACUCUCUCAGGAGGGAAAUAAUGAGAAUGUGGCCCAAUCCAGGGAAAUCAGCCAUGGCAAAUGAUGGCCAUCAGAGGUCUAAGGAAUUGGUGUUUGGGUUAUUUCUGGUCCACAUGGUAAGUGUUCAGGUUCUGGAGGAUGGAAGUCCAAGAUCAGGGUGCCAGCAUGGUCGAG
This is a long non-coding RNA of Aethalodelphis obliquidens (Pacific white-sided dolphin), 598 nucleotides long. RefSeq lists it as uncharacterized. NCBI's taxonomy places the organism in Eukaryota, Metazoa, Chordata, Mammalia, Artiodactyla, Delphinidae. The transcript is spliced from 4 exons. The record is from RefSeq and is a predicted model, not a curated record.